This 470-nucleotide ribosomal RNA is filed under the name uncultured bacterium. RNAcentral describes it as "partial 16S ribosomal RNA". It matches the Rfam family "Bacterial small subunit ribosomal RNA", at positions 28 to 507 of the family's 1533-position model. The record is from RNAcentral.
GACGAACGCUGGCGGCGUGCUUAACACAUGCAAGUCGAACGCUGAAGCACCAGCUUGCUGGUGUGGAUGAGUGGCGAACGGGUGAGUAAUACGUGAGUAACCUGCCCUUGACUCUGGGAUAAGCCCGGGAAACUGGGUCUAAUACUGGAUGCUACAUGUCACCGCAUGGUGGUGUGUGGAAAGGGUUUACUGGUCUUGGAUGGGCUCACGGCCUAUCAGCUUGUUGGUGAGGUAAUGGCUCACCAAGGCGCCGACGGGUAGCCGGCCUGAGAGGGUGACCGGCCACACUGGGACUGAGACAAGGCCCAGAAUCCUACGGGAGGCAGCAGUGGGGAAUAUUGCACAAUGGGCGAAAGCCUGAUGCAGCGACGCCGCGUGAGGGAUGACGGCCUUCGGGUUGUAAACCUCUUUCAGCAGGGAAGAAGCCACAAGUGACGGUACCUGCAGAAGAAGCGCCGGCUAACUACGUG